This 21-nucleotide non-coding RNA is filed under the name Arabidopsis thaliana (thale cress). Lineage: Eukaryota; Viridiplantae; Streptophyta; Magnoliopsida; Brassicales; Brassicaceae. The record is from RNAcentral.
CUGAGCACUUUUGGGAUCGAA